RNAcentral lists this transfer RNA (73 nucleotides) under Salmo salar (Atlantic salmon). It matches the Rfam family "tRNA". From Rfam's summary of the family: Transfer RNA (tRNA) molecules are approximately 80 nucleotides in length. Lineage: Eukaryota; Metazoa; Chordata; Actinopteri; Salmoniformes; Salmonidae. The record is from Rfam by way of RNAcentral.
GCCCAUGUGGCUCAGUUGGUAGAGCAUGGUGUUUGCAACGCCAGGGUUGUGGGUUCGAUUCCCACGGGGGACC